This is a long non-coding RNA of Taeniopygia guttata (zebra finch), 1033 nucleotides long. RefSeq lists it as uncharacterized. The record is from RefSeq and is a predicted model, not a curated record. Lineage: Eukaryota; Metazoa; Chordata; Aves; Passeriformes; Estrildidae.
UGCCUUUGAGAGAGAGAGGGAGAGAGACAGCGAGGCUGCCUGCCUGCGCCAGGGAGAGAGCGCAGAAAUGGAGGGAAAAGAAAACGUCAAGACCGAGUGUUUCAAGGCAGUCAGCUUUAUACACUGCAGGGCUAUUCCUGCCAAAGAAAAAAAAAAUCUCUGCUCCAGCUACAUAAUGUAAAAAUGUACUUAAACCUCUCCCUCCUGGAUUUUUUUCCUUUUAAAAAAAUACUUUAUGCUUCUCUAAUGCUCAUGCAAAGGUAACAGCUAUCCAGAACAACACAAGGACAUUUCUGAAACCUGGCCUUUGACAUCAGGUAGUGAGAAACAUGGUCUAAACUUAACAUAUCACUGUGACAAAAGGUCUAGUACUAUUCUGUCAAAUAUAGUCAGGCAGAUUCCAUUUAAAGACAUAUGCUAAAACUGUGUAUCUUACUCAAGAGAAUAAGCUGGAUCUUAAAAAAUGAAUGCUACAGUUUAAACAGUCGUGUUGCAGGCAGUGGAAUAUGUUGCUUUACCUCUUUUGAGAAUCCUCCAGAGUCACACAAAUCCAGCUCUGCAAAAGCAAAAGGACAGACUCCAUCUUGAUCAUAUUUGUAUUUUGCUGACAUAAAACACUUGUAACUACUUCGUUCCAGUUUGACAGGGUGCCUGAAUCAUGUCUUCAGUGUAACCCACAGCAUCUACAUCCUUUGCUCUAUACAAAUUUAGUGAAUAUCGUCUGUUUAUCUUUUCUGCUUUCUUCUGCCUUCUCUGAACGACUUCCUCUUAGCUGUUCCAGCCUGAGAACUUGGAUUACCAUUUGGUUUUGAUUAAAACCAGACGGACAGCUCCAUGGAAAUUUGAGGAAACCAGUCACAAGGAAUAAAAUUGAAAAAUUUAUAAGUGGGGACAUAUUUAAAAGACAGGUUUGCUGACUGACUACAAGAGAAUUUGCUGUGCACACAAAAGGUAAGCAGAGAAGAGCCACAAAAUCACACUGGAAGAGAUCUGUGAUAAUUUCAGGUAAUGUUUCUUAAAAUUUAAAAGGAAA